Long non-coding RNA from Gopherus flavomarginatus (Mexican gopher tortoise), 304 nucleotides. RefSeq lists it as uncharacterized. The record is from RefSeq and is a predicted model, not a curated record. The transcript has 3 exons. NCBI's taxonomy places the organism in Eukaryota, Metazoa, Chordata, Testudines, Testudinidae.
AUGGCGUAAAGCCAAAUGAACAAGAGGGCAGAGACCCGGACCCGGACCCUAGUUUCAGGGUGGUCACAUUGCUCAGUUUAACAAAGAGCUCAGUGCCCCUCCAAAGACAGGCGGAGGUAUACUGCCUUGGAAUGACUGGUAUCCUGAUUACAGGGCAGUCACACUCACUAACCAGCUAACGGAGACCCUCAGGGCCUCAGAGACGCAAACUCUAGUUACAGGGAGGUCAAGCUGCCCAUGUUACUGAAAUGUUUCUAAACCCCCAGAUUUCAAAAGCGAGAUACAACCUGUACCCUGAUUACAG